This 68-nucleotide transfer RNA is filed under the name Marmota monax (woodchuck). RNAcentral's name for it is "tRNA.Ala". The record is from RNAcentral. Lineage: Eukaryota; Metazoa; Chordata; Mammalia; Rodentia; Sciuridae.
GGAUUGUGGCUAAGUGGUAGAGCUAUUGCCUAGCAUGCGUGAGGUACUGGGUUCAAUCCUCAGCACCA